CAACUCACCUGCCGAAUCAACUAG
RNAcentral lists this non-coding RNA (24 nucleotides) under Arabidopsis thaliana (thale cress). The record is from RNAcentral. Lineage: Eukaryota; Viridiplantae; Streptophyta; Magnoliopsida; Brassicales; Brassicaceae. RNAcentral also lists the same sequence under 3 other names.